This 549-nucleotide ribosomal RNA is filed under the name uncultured bacterium. Its description in RNAcentral is "bacterial SSU rRNA". It matches the Rfam family "Bacterial small subunit ribosomal RNA", at positions 41 to 634 of the family's 1533-position model. The record is from RNAcentral.
GGCAGGCCUAAUACAUGCAAGUCGAGCGGGUGUAGCAAUACACCAGCGGCAGACGGGAGAGUAACACGUGGGAACGUGCCCUUCAGUUCGGAACAACCCAGGGAAACUUGGGCUAAUACCGGAUACGUCCGUAAGGAGAAAGAUUUAUCGCUGAAGGAUCGGCCCGCGUCUGAUUAGCUUGUUGGUGAGGUAACGGCUCACCAAGGCGACGAUCAGUAGCUGGUCUGAGAGGAUGAUCAGCCUCACUGGGACUGAGACGCGGCCCAGACUCCUACGGGAGGCAGCAGUAGGGAAUAUUGGACAAUGGGCGCAAGCCUGAUCCAGCCAUGCCGCGUGGGUGAUGAAGGCCCUAGGGUUGUAAAGCCCUUUCGGCGGGGAAGAUAAUGACGGUACCCGCAGAAGAAGCCCCGGCUAACUUCGUGCCAGCAGCCGCGGUAAUACGAAGGGGGCUAGCGUUGCUCGGAAUCACUGGGCGUAAAGCGCACGUAGGCGGCUUUUUAAGUCAGGGGUGAAAUCCUGGAGCUCAACUCCAGAACUGCCUUUGAUACU